RNAcentral lists this ribosomal RNA (502 nucleotides) under uncultured bacterium. Its description in RNAcentral is "partial 16S ribosomal RNA". It matches the Rfam family "Bacterial small subunit ribosomal RNA", at positions 28 to 507 of the family's 1533-position model. The record is from RNAcentral.
GACGAACGCUGGCGGCGUGCUUAACACAUGCAAGUCGAACGGUGAAGGGGUCUGCUUUUGUGGGCCCUGGAUGAGUGGCGAACGGGUGAGUAACACGUGAGUAACCUGCCCCCUUCUUCUGGAUAACCGCAUGAAGGUGUGGCUAAUACGGGAUAUUCUGGGUCUGUCGCAUGAUGGGUCUGGGAAAGAUUGCGCCUUUGGGUGUUUUUGGUGGGGGAUGGGCUCGCGGCCUAUCAGCUCGUUGGUGGGGUGAUGGCCUACCAAGGCGGUGACGGGUAGCCGGCCUGAGAGGGUGGACGGUCACACUGGGACUGAGACACGGCCCAGACUCCUACGGGAGGCAGCAGUGGGGAAUAUUGCACAAUGGGCGCAAGCCUGAUGCAGCGACGCCGCGUGAGGGAUGGAGGCCUUCGGGUUGUAAACCUCUUUCGCCAGUGAAGCAGGCCUGCUCCUUGUGGGUGGGUUGACGGUAGCUGGAGAAGAAGCGCCGGCUAACUACGUG